CCUACGGGUGACAGCAGUGAGGAAUAUUCGUCAAUGGACGAGAGUCUGAACCAGCCAAGUAGCGUGAAGGAUGACUGCCCUAUGGGUUGUAAACUUCUUUUAUAAAGGAAUAAAACGAGGCACGUGUGCCUUUUUGCAUGUACUUUAUGAAUAAGGAUCGGCUAACUCAGUGCCAGCAGCCGCGGUAAUACUGAGGAUCCGAGCGUUAUCCGGAUUUAUUGGGUUUAAAGGGAGCGUAGAUGGGUUGUUUGGUCAGUUGUGAAAGUUUGCGGCUAAACCGUAAAAUUGCAAUUGAUGAUGGCAGUCUUGAGUACAGUUGAGGUAGGUGGAAUUCGUGGUGUAGCGGUGAAAUGCUUAGAUAUCACGAAGAACCCCGAUUGCGAAGGCAGCUUACUAAACUGUGACUGACAUUGAUGCUCGAAAGUGUGGGUAUCAAACAGGAUUAGAUACCCCAGUAGUG
This 460-nucleotide ribosomal RNA is filed under the name uncultured bacterium. Its description in RNAcentral is "partial 16S ribosomal RNA". It matches the Rfam family "Bacterial small subunit ribosomal RNA", at positions 338 to 795 of the family's 1533-position model. The record is from RNAcentral.